ACCGUUUUAGAAACAUCAGUGGCCAACGAUCGUCAGGAUUGUUGAGCUGCAUUGGCGGGAUUUCGCCGUCUUCGUUUCUCUUUCUUCGCGGACGAACACGCGCUGGGGCUGCAAGCUUGCAGAAUCCCUGGUCCUUGACUGGAUAUGCGUUAGGGGCUUGUAGCUCAGUUGGUUAGAGCGCGCGCUUGAUAAGCGUGAGGUCGGAAGUUCAAGUCUUCCCAGGCCCACCACACUCAUCGAGUGAGCAUUCGUCUUCUGGUUACGGGGCCAUAGCUCAGCUGGGAGAGCGCGUGCUUUGCAAGCAUGAGGUCGUCGGUUCGAUCCCGUCUGGCUCCACCAGAUGGUUUGAUCAUCGACUGAUCGUGCACCUAAAUCGUCCGCGAAACAUCACUUCGCACUUACUAGUCCGGAUGGACAGUAAGCUGCGUGAUUUCUGACAUCGUAAAGAGGAGAUCGAUCCGAGUUGGAUCGGGCAACAAGCAAUUGUUGCGCGAUACUUCAUUAUCUCCGGAUCAUUUCGGCGCUCGUGCGCCUUUCAAUGUAGCUCACAAGGCUGCGUCUGAGAGGAAUGCGAGUUGUAAAUGAUCCUUUUAGCGAAGCUUGACCGCCUCGCUAUCGGAACGAUCUUACGAAGCAAGCUGGUCUUUCUAAUCAUUGUCCGGCUGCAGAUAGCGUUCAUCGAGGGCGCGUGCCGCAAGGUAAUUCUGCAGACAACAUUCUGCCGAGUGUGUGGACAUUGAUAAUGAGAGCAAUCAAGUGCCUUAAGGGUGUUCGGUGAUGCCUG
This 784-nucleotide transfer RNA is filed under the name Bradyrhizobium japonicum. RNAcentral describes it as "partial miscellaneous RNA". The stretch from base 154 to 227 matches the Rfam family "tRNA". The record is from RNAcentral. Lineage: Bacteria; Pseudomonadati; Pseudomonadota; Alphaproteobacteria; Hyphomicrobiales; Nitrobacteraceae.